GUUGAACGCGAAAACCCCGCAAGGGGUAGUAGAGUGGCGAACGGGUGAGUAACACGUGGGUGACCUACCUUCGAAUGGGGGAUAACGUCCCGAAAGGGACGCUAAUACCGCAUAACAUCCUGCUUUUGAACAAGUGGAGAUCAAAGCCGGGGAUCGCAAGACCUGGCGUUUGAAGAGGGGCCCGCGUCUGAUUAGCUAGUUGGUGAGGUAACGGCUCACCAAGGCGACGAUCAGUAUCCGGCCUGAGAGGGCGGACGGACACACUGGGACUGAGACACGGCCCAGACUCCUACGGGAGGCAGCAGUGGGGAAUUGUUCGCAAUGGGCGCAAGCCUGACGACGCAACGCCGCGUGGAGGAUGAAGGUCUUCGGAUUGUAAACUCCUGUUGCCCGGGACGAAACGCUUCGACCUAACACGUCGGAGUUUGACGGUACCGGGUGAGGAAGCCCCGGCUAACUCUGUGCCAGCAGCCGCGGUAAUACAGAGGGGGCAAGCGUUGUUCGGAAUUACUGGGCGUAAAGGGCGCGUAGGCGGCCUUCUAAGUCGAACGUGAAAUCCCCGGGCUCAACCCGGGAACUGCGUCCGAUACUGGAAGGCUUGAAUCCGGGAGAGGGAUGCGGAAUUCCAGGUGUAGCGGUGAAAUGCGUAGAUAUCUGGAGGAACACCGGUGGCGAAGGCGGCAUCCUGGACCGGCAUUGACGCUGAGGCGCGAAAGCCAGGGGAGCAAACGGGAUUAGAUACCCCGGUAGUCCUGGCCCUAAACGAUGAAUGCUUGGUGUGGCGGGUAUCGAUCCCUGCCGUGCCGAAGCUAACGCAUUAAGCAUUCCGCCUGGGGA
This 837-nucleotide ribosomal RNA is filed under the name uncultured Bacillota bacterium. RNAcentral's name for it is "bacterial SSU rRNA". It matches the Rfam family "Bacterial small subunit ribosomal RNA", at positions 61 to 879 of the family's 1533-position model. Lineage: Bacteria; Bacillati; Bacillota. The record is from RNAcentral.